UCCCUAGUGGUCUAGUGGUUAGGAUUUUGCACCUUCAUUGCUAAGGCCUGGGGUCAAUUCCCAGUCAAAGAA
RNAcentral lists this transfer RNA (72 nucleotides) under Pelodiscus sinensis (Chinese soft-shelled turtle). It matches the Rfam family "tRNA". Rfam says of the family: Transfer RNA (tRNA) molecules are approximately 80 nucleotides in length. Their secondary structure includes four short double-helical elements and three loops (D, anti-codon, and T loops). Lineage: Eukaryota; Metazoa; Chordata; Testudines; Trionychidae. The record is from Rfam by way of RNAcentral.